UAAUACGGAGGAUCCAAGCGUUAUCCGGAAUCAUUGGGUUUAAAGGGUCCGUAGGCGGUUUAGUAAGUCAGUGGUGAAAGCCCAUCGCUCAACGGUGGAACGGCCAUUGAUACUGCUAGACUUGAAUUAUUAGGAAGUAACUAGAAUAUGUAGUGUAGCGGUGAAAUGCUUAGAGAUUACAUGGAAUACCAAUUGCGAAGGCAGGUUACUACUAAUUGAUUGACGCUGAUGGACGAAAGCGUGGGUAGCGAACAGGAUUAGAUACCCUGGUAGUCCACGCCGUAAACGAUGGAUACUAGCUGUUGGGCGCAAGUUCAGUGGCUAAGCGAAAGUGAUAAGUAUCCCACCUGGGGAGUACGAACGCAAGUUUG
Molecule: ribosomal RNA, 371 nt
Filed under: uncultured Bacteroidota bacterium
Lineage: Bacteria; Pseudomonadati; Bacteroidota
Description: bacterial SSU rRNA
Rfam family: Bacterial small subunit ribosomal RNA
Source: RNAcentral